Long non-coding RNA from Mirounga angustirostris (Northern elephant seal), 10512 nucleotides. RefSeq lists it as uncharacterized. The transcript has 7 exons. Lineage: Eukaryota; Metazoa; Chordata; Mammalia; Carnivora; Phocidae. The record is from RefSeq and is a predicted model, not a curated record.
CACCACCACGCUGGGCUGUGAGCAAGGCCGUGCGUGCCUUCAAAGGGAAGCCAAUGCCGCCGAGCCUCGCGUGACCCGGCGCGCUGGCCACCUUUGCGGGCGGAGGGAGCACGGUGGAAGCCCCCGGGACUGCCACAAAUCCAUGUUUGAGGAAGGAUGCGAGCAAUGCCUCUCUUUCAUGGCCUGAAGAAUAAAGCGGCCGUGAAAUCAGUGAUGCCACAUUAUUGCUUCCUGGUCAUGCGGGAUGGGCUUCCUUCCCGUGGCCAGCACCCCCAGAGCAGCGCCUCCCGCUCUGGAAACAGGCUGCAGACACGUGUAUCCUGGACAGCUGGGUUUGGGAGUAUUUCCUCUUCAUUGUUUGAAGGAACACUCAGGGGGAAAUAUGGAAAAAGCCAGAGGGUGCACGCAGGCCGCCUGACCCGGGAGGUGUGGCCAGGCCCAGGGGAACGUGGCCUGCCUGCCACAGGCGUGGGCACGGCCUCCAGCUCCCGAAUGCCUGGGGAAUGGCAUCCUACCACCUGAGCCUUUUUGUCCCGAUGGCCUGUAGAGCUGUUGUUCCUCACAGAACAAGUGCAGCGUCAUUUCAGGGGGGUCUGGGGGCUCCCCACUGCCUAUAGUGAUGUGGGGGCCUGGGGAACCACGCUGGGGGGCGUCCCCCACUGCCCUCACGACAGAGCUGCCAUGUGGGGCUUUCACUCAGCUCCCUCUGGGGCUGGAGAAAGGGUUCUGCCAACGGUGGUGGGCUCUCACCCACGGGGCACACUCCCGUGCCCUCCAGGUCCAGCACCACCGUGCACACGUCAGGAGCCCCGUCAGAGUGGUCCCCCGAGCCCCCCACACCGCAUGGAACCUGCACCCCAUUGGGUUGCUGCAUUAAUUAUUACUGCACAGAAGUUUCCAGCAGGCUUAAGUCCAAGCUAGAGAAGAACCAGGUGAAUCAAAGAAGUGCAAACUGCCUUAGCAAGUGAUGACUGCCCGUCGAAGGAUGGGUUCAAACAGAAGAGGGGCAACCGCAUCACAGGAAGCUACGUUCAUCACUACUGGGGCCGAAGGUACGGGAACAAGUGGUCGUCCGGGGCCUUUCGACUGGUGAUUCUAAGAAUCGUUAUAACAGACCAGAGCACCCAGGCCCUGUAGGCUGCAUUAGACCUGGCCUGGAAGGACCUGUGAGCCCAGCUUCUCCCUGAUCCCACUGCCCUCUAAGACACCACUGUUUCCUUUAAGUUUUGGGGUUGUAGAAUACGAUAUCCCCAGUACCUCUUCUCCCCUUCUUCCAACAGAAAUCCCAAAUGUUAGCAAAGGACCCCUAGGAAUAAAGACUACACUUCCCAGCCUCCCUGGGGCUAGGUGUGACCAUGUCAGUAAGUUCUGGACCAGGGGAUAUGACAGAAGUGAUAAGUACCAUUUCUGGGAGUCAGUGCUUCUUAAGGAAGGAGCAUCCCUUCUAAUCUCCUGCCUCCCCAGCACAGUGGCCAGAUUUCAGCAGCCAUUUUGGGCUGUGAGGACGAAGGAUUCACCCGAGGGAUGAGUCCCUGAAAGCCGAGAGGAGCCCAGAGAUCCUGGUGAUUUUGUGGAGCUCCUGUACAGUCUGACCUUCUGGAACACUGGAGGAUGCAGCUUUGGAUCUUUCUGCCUCACUUUGCCAGAUGGAAUGACUAAUAUAUUCAAUUGAUGGCAAUGUCCGAAACUUCAAAUUUCCUUGAAGGGAGGGACUGUUUUAUGUUUCUCUGUAUUCUUUUCAGCAUCUGGCACACAGUAACUGGUUUGAUUGGAUUUGAUUUUAUCCGACCUUUUAAAUGCCCCGUUAGCCAGAGAGUCACAGAUCUAUGCAGCAACUUCUUGCUGUGUCCGAUGACACUUCCCUCUUCCGUUCUAAAAAUUACCUCUCUUAGGUUGAAGACAGGCCCUUUGUGAGGGAUGCCAAGCUCACUUUGGACCCAAGUGAGGCCGAUGACAGGUCUGGCUGACCUCACUUCUUAGAUCCAAUCUUUCCAGAUGGGAAGUUCCCUCCAGAGGCUGCUGAAUAAAGCCGAUGACGGAGCCCAUGUGCAGGCCCAAGGCCGGGGGAGGAGAGGCCUCCAGGAAGGAAGGGCUGGAGUCAGCAGUCCAGCUCAGGGCAGCCCCUGGCAGUGGGGCAGGCCUUCCGGUGUGUCCUGGAACUGCAAGCACAGGGGACCCCUGGAGCUGGGGAGCCACAGCAGGCCCAAACCACCCUCACUGAGGAGGUGUGCGCUGAUUUUAUUUAUUUAUUUAUUUGAGAGAGAGAGAGAAAAACAGCAUGAGAGGGGAGAGGAGUCAGAGGGAGAAGCAGGCCCCCUGCUGAGCCGGGAGCCCGACGCGGGACUCGAUCCCAGGACUCCGGGACCAUGACCCGAGCUGAAGGCAGUCACCUAACCAACUGAGCCACCCAGGCGCCCUAAAAUCGAUUCUUAAAAAAAAGAAGCCAUUAGCAAGGAAAGAUAAAAACCCAGGAAUGCCUAUUCACAGCCUUCUCCGGGAAUGGGACUUGUUUCCAACUGUGCGGUCAGCCAGACACGGGGUCACGGGCACCCACUGUGUGCAUGGCCUGGUGUGGAGGUCGUCAGAGGUGGGAAACAUAACGUCAAGUGUUCCUUCGAGAGCCUGCCACGUGGCUGAGAAGCAAGGUGCACAUAGAGGACAAUGCCCAGUGUGCUGGGCCAGAUCAGGAUAACUGAGUCAGUGAGGAUUCUUGAGGCUGAGUGAUUCACUCACCCAUUCAUCCCACAAACACAUAUGGGGAGCUGCUUGGCGUUCAGAUGCUGUGAGGAGUUGGAAGAUACGGUUGCUCUGAGAAGCACACAGUGCAGUCAUCGACCCAGAAGGGCAAGCAGACAAUCCAACUCUCAGGUCAGGUUGAUAGCGUGUGGCUUCAGUCCCGACCCCUUAUUCACACGGCUGGUCAUUCUGGUGUGGCCAGCCCCCAUCCUGAGUCAUCUGCUACCGUGAACUAGCAGGACUCCCUCAUCACCCUGAGAAACAAGACACUCCAUCACUCAGGAUCCCGAGGCCUGAGAGGCUUGUCCCAGGAAGCGGGACACAACCACUCAUGCACAGAACACCGAGGGAAUGUGUGGAGUCCGGGGCCUGGAGAUGGGACAUGCUGGAAGGAAGACUAACAGCCCUGGCUGGGGCGCUGGAGCCUCGGAGCCGGCUUUGCCCAGGAGGGCCGGGCCAGAGAGGAGGCAGGGCCUCGGAGCCCUGCUCUCGGGGUGACCCACCCACCCACUCUGACGUCCCUGAGCCCCCGUCCGUGGGCCACAGGCCUGGCGCAACUGGGGGACUUUCAUGCUAAGACAGUCCCGGGCAAAGCAGCACUGACUCAACCCAGAAAUGAAGAGGUGAGGCCUCUCUUCUCAAAUACCCCACCUGAGCUACUCACUAUCACCAGUCUCAGAAAUAAAGGUUUUCCAGACACAAGAUCAAAGCUAAGAGCCAGAGGAGUAUUAGGUUCCAGGCAUUUCCAAACAAGCAAGCUCCACGAUUGGUGCGUCCGCAAAGGCUGAGAUAGGGAAGGCCCUUUUCUUUCUUUUCUUUCCUGGACUGCCAGGGGAAACAGAGCUAAGCGAAGAGCGAAGAGCGGCGGCCCGGGGUAGCCAGCAAACGUGGAUUUGUUAACAAGGCACCGCCGGGGCAGGACUGGGGACGGUGGGGAGAGCCGGCUCUGCCUGUCAUAGCCCAGGAGUGGUCGGACAGGAGGCGCCUCUCUCUCUGAGUCCCGGGGCGCAGCCCUGCCAAAUAUGGGACGUGGGCCACCGGCUGACAGCCCCGGAGGGCGCGCUGGGAGGAGCUGUGGCUCCGCCCAGCCCAGCCAACCCCUGCUUUGGGGGCCACUUUCCCACCUGGGGAGGGUCCCACGGGCAAGAUGACACUUGGGAAGACCAAGAGUCAGGUGAGCAGGCUUUCUGGGUGUCUGAACCCGGACAAGGGGCCGCUGCGUGCCGGGGAAGACCUGGAUGUCACCACUCCCCGUGGGGGCCCCAGGGUGGUCUCGCAGUGCACCCACCAGACACCACUCAGGUCCUUCGACCAAGGCUCCAGGUGGCCCCUGUGUCUCUCUGCCAGGUGUCACCAGCCCUGAGCGCAUCCCCCCGGCGGAGGGGCAGGGAAGCUCCUGGCAGCCCGCAGCGGCUCUGAUGUUCCAUCAGCCUCCUCCCCGCCCAGCCACCAGCCUCGGCGCCCCGCUCAGGGUUGCCCUAGAGAAGCCAGAGCCUUCUUUUCUCUGCCGGUCCUCCAGAUGUUUGAUCAGCACUUCCUUCUCCGUGAGCCUCCCACGUUCUCCGGGGUAACACACCCAGCCCCGCAGCAGGUUGCAGGCUCGCCAAGGCCCGCGCCACCCUGGCUGGGCCCAGCUGCGGAAUUUGCAGAAACAUUUAAUAAUUCAGGAAAGCCCCCUUGUUCCUCCUGUGUCUCGCCCGCUUACACGCCGCUGCCACGCUCGACAAUUCUGACACCAGAGGCGGGGGUUUUCCCCUGGAUUGCGCGAUUCCUUGACACCAGCUGGAGGUCCCAGCACUGAACUCGAUUCUGGCACCAUCUGCCUGGAGAGCGCAUCGGGGCCCACGGGUUAGUGGCUCAGGCCCACCAGACUUCAGCCGCCAAUGGCAAUUCCAGAUUGGCACCUGUGUUUCUUUUUUGUUUUCUUUAUUAUUGCUUUUUUUUCUCUUUUUAUUAACAUAUAAUGUAUUAUUUGUCUCAGGGGGCACCUGUGUUUCUGACUUCCUGGCUGCAAAUUGCAGGUUCCCGCAAACUCUCCCUUCGAUUAAUUUGCUAAAAUGGCUCUCAGAACUCACACAAACAGCUUAUUUACUGUUUGUGAGGAUACAACAUCCAGCUGGAAGAGAUGGGUAGUGUGAAGUGCGUGGGACGGGGAUUCCCUCCGUGCACGGCGCCACCCCCCACCCCAGCACCUCCAUGUUCUCCCAGCCUGGAAGCUCUGCGAACCACGCCUUGUGGGAUUUCAUCACCUAAGCACAAUUGAUCAUUAACUCCAUCCCAGCCCCUCUUCCCUCCCUGGAGAACGGAAGGUGAGGCUGGAAAUUCCAACCUUUUAAUCACGACUUGGUCUUCUGGUGACCGGUCCCAUCCAGCAGCCUGCCCAGACUCACCUUAGAACAAAGACAUUGCUAUCACCCAGGAAAUCCCAAGGGAUUUAGGAGCUCUGUGUCAGACUGCCGUCAAAGACCAACUAUUUGAACAAAGGAUGCUCCUAGUGCUCUUAUCACUUAAGACAUUACGAAGGUUUUAGAAACUCUGUGCCCAGAACCAGGGGCAGAGACCAAUAUAUGUAUUUUCUAGCAUCUACCAUUAAUGCAGAGUAAAAAUGUGGGGCCCUUGUUCAGAAAUCAGGACACAUUGCAAAAGAACAGCUGCAGAGGGUUGAAGGAACUCAGGGCCCUUUGUGACGGCACAGACCGCACACCCAGGAAGACAGCCCCAUUGUGGUCACUCCCUCCUGGGUACCCUCUGGCCUAUCGGUGUCCCCCUCAAAGGGCAGGGGUCCGGCUCGCUGGGCCUGGUCAGAGCGGGCAUCAAAGCUAGUCACGUCUCACUCCCUUGCCCGGCACUGCAGCCUAUGGUCAGAGAGGAGACGCUGUCCUCUGAACCCCCGCAGGGCUGGCCAGGAAUGCAGAUUCCAGCCCCCCGCCCCCAGCCCCCAGACCUCCUGGAUCAGCGUCUCCAGGUGUGAGCUGGGGCCUCUGCCUUCUAAACCUGGUGCUCAGCUCGCGCUGCUGCAGGAGGAAAGGCUGAGGAUCACUGUUGGCCCCGGGGCUGGUUCUGCAGCCCAGCCUGUUCCUGGAGCUGAUUGUGAACUAAACGUGGCCUUCUUCUCCUGAGGGCUGCUGGUCAGCCCCAUCGCCCCAGUCUUGGCGAGAGCAAGGGCCUUCCGACCUUCUCCUUGCAAGAGCAGGCCUGCCCCGACAUCAGACAGUGGCAGGCCUGAGUGCUGCCCGGUUGCCCGAGUGGAAGGCUGAGGGGCCUGGGGCCCAUUUGGAGCUCCUGCCACAGGCCCCCGAGGCCGGACGAGCGAGCAGGGCCACUGGGGUCCCGGGCAGCUGGGAAGGAGGCGUGGAGGUCAGAACAUACUCUGGAGGGAGGGGACAAAAUGCGGGACUGCUGUUUGCAGCCAGAGCUGCGAAGCUCGGCGGGGCUGCCGGGGGACCGUGACCGGUGGCCGACUCUGUGGCCUUCCUGCCAGGCCCUUCUCUUUCCUGGGCCUCCCAUCCUGGCUUUCCUUCCUCAUCCCCAGGCCAGCUUUCCUUUGGGCUUCAGCCGCUCAGCGCAUGAAAUGUGUCUCCUGGGGCCUCCCAGUGCCCCCAGGGCCUCCCAACCGGUCAGAGCCCAGGGCUCAGAGUUGAACUGAGGUCUGUCUGGGGCCAAAACCGGAGUCCGAGGUGAGAGAGGAGCCUCGUGUGGCCCCAGACACUGGCCCAUGUCUGCCUCACUGGGAACAAUUGAGAAAGGAAGCUGGUGGACUCCCCACCGACCUCCCCACCCGCCCCGCCCCCGCCCCCACCAUGCCUACCUUUGGAGGAUGCUUUCACAGCACCAUGUCAUCGCACCCUGCGGUCUAGGGGGCAUGGUUUCUGUUUUUGAGCAGCAGAAACCGAGUCUUCACAUAGAAGGUGGGAAAGGGUUCAUGAGGCAGGAGGGGGCCAUGCCCAUGAUUCUGAGAGGAACGUUACAACGUACCCUGUGAAUGGCUGCAAAGCAAACCUUUAGGGACAGAGGUUUUUCCCAGGAGGGAAAUGGCCCCGGGGACCAAGCCAGGAGGUCUGGGCCCUGAGGGGCUCUGCGGAGGGGAUAUGCAUGUUUUGGGGCUAUCCUCAGGACCAGGCGUCUACACCCAGCACUUCAACCCCCCUCCAGUGACUGGGCCAAGUCGGGGACUUCUCCUUCCCGGAGCAGAGGAGGUCGGGGUGGCAAGGGGGGAUGCAGGGAGUGACCCCAGCGGAGGGACGCAGCUCCGGACGCUGUGCAAACCACCAACGAGGCCACGGGUUUUCUCCGUGACUGUGGCAGUGGCCUGGGCGCCUGCAGGCACGGCGUGGGAGCUGUCACUCUGCGGACCCCAGGAAGAGAGUCCAGUGGUGACAAACUGCUCGAACCCCGCCCGCUAGGCGAGGGCCUGGGCAGGCAGCAAGGGCCCAGUGACCCUCCCGGGGCUUGACAUUCAUUCACUGUGUGUGAAGGAGGCCCCAGCAUCAGUCUGAGCGCACAGACCAGAGCAGGGCGGACAGGAAACCUGCAUCCAGAACAUUCCUGCUGAAACUCGGCGACAGAGCAGGGCAAGGAGAGGUGCUCCAGAGACGGAAACCUCCCAGGGCUGCCGCUGGGGCAAAUGCACGCUCAGCAGGCUUAAUCCAGGAUGCUUUGUUCUUUGUUCUUUUUUUUUUUUCCUUUUGGUUGUUGUUUCUUGUGUAAAUAUUACAGUUCUUUUGUCUUCAUCAAAGCCCUACGCACUUAUGUGUCUUGUCUUGCUCGGCAGUUUCUGAGCUGGUUAGACAGAGCCCCGUGUCCCCAGAUGAACCCGGGAUUUCAAAAUGAUCUCCAGCCCUGAUUGAUCCCCAGUCCUUCCAGAGACGUCCUCCACAAGCAUGAUCACCCGGCGAUUGAAAAGCAACACAGUGCCUGGUCCCACCCCAGAGACCCGGAUUUAGUGGGAUGAGAAUCUGCUCCCCCAGCGGCGCCUCGGGGUCGUGAGUCUGUCACCUUGGGAAGGGCACCAAGCCCGCGUGGGCUAUAGACACAAGUCCAGCAGGAAGCCAGAUGGAUCCGCCCUCCCGUGGGUUCUGCGACUGUGCAGAGGAUCUGCCAGGAGGCGGUGGGAGUGUUCUUUCCAAGGGCUUCUGCAGUGAGCAAGGGCUGGGCCAGGUGGGACACAGCAGGGACCAGGGAAGAUGGGCAGAUGCCAGGAGGGCCCAUAAACAGUUUCUCUCAUGGGAGGUUUCACCUGGGUGUGGAAAGAAAAGUUACAGUGCAGGAGUGAUCGGAGAUCCUGGGGCCAUACUGCCUGGGUGAGAAUCCAACCUCCAUCCUGGAGAAGGUGCUGGAGCCUCAGUUUCUCCAUCAGUACAAAGGGCCUAGAGCCGCUCUGAGGACUAAACGAGACCAUCCAGACCCGCUGCUUGCUUUCAACAUUGUGUUAUCACAACCAUCACCACCAGCACAGAGGGCUGAUGACAGGCACUGGGUGGGUGCAGCUCGUUUCUUGUGGACAACAAUCCUGCUGGAGGUCCUAUCUUCCCUCCUUUUCUCAGGGAGACAACUGGGCCUCAGGCUGAGUCCGCUCACCUGAGGUGACAGAGCCCGUGAGUGGGGACCGAGCCAGAAUUUGAACUCACGUCUGCCUAACCCCAGAGACUGCUGUCCUCAGGUGCCUGGCCUUGUCCAAGCGAGCACUGUUUCUGAGCUGUUUGUAAAUGGGAAGGAGAUUGGGCCCCGGGCAGCUGGGGGGCAGGGCUGGUGGCCGCUUGUCUGACAGAAGCCCCUCAGUCCCCCAGAGAGGAGCACAGGGGACAUGUGGGGGGCAGGGGGCGUGGGGAGGCCCCGAGAAGCAGCCACAGGGGAUGAGGCUCUGGGGUCUGCUGAGCCCCUAUUAUGUGCCCCAACACAUUUGCUGAAUCCUGAAUCCUCACGCAUGGCGGGGCUAUCCUGGAGAUAUCUGUGAUCUGUGACAGACAAGAUAACGACCAGACUCUGCGUCCAAUCGCUGGCAAAGACACAGAGGUUUACAAAGGAUUGCGACGGACAGCAGAUGGGCCUCUUAAGGGAAAGUGCCAGGACCUGGGCUCUGGGACGGCUGGGUGCUUUCUGCCGCGGAGAGGCCCCGGGAGCACCCAGCACUCACACCUGCCCCCUGGGCCUCUGCAGGGCUAAGGCCUCCACUGCAAGGCCUCUCUCUCUCUCUGCAUCAGUGUGGCUCCCCAUGGCUGCUUCACAUUCUUCUCUGGGAUCCCCGGCUGGAAUGGGCUCUGCCCUCCAGUCUGCACAGCUGUCCUGCCUGCAUCCGGGCACCGGCCCCACCUUCCUGCCCCCCUGACAACACUGGAAAGGCAGCUCGAGGAACAGCUGGGCCUGGGACUCCGGCACUGGGUGGGUGCUCCGUCCUGUGCCUCCAUUAUUCACGGGGCUGACAAGCAGGCCCACAGAGAGGUUUCUUUCUUUUUUUUUUUUUAAGAUUUUAUUUAUUCAUUUGAGAGACAGACAGACAGAUAGUGACAGAGACAGCGAGCGAGCGCACAAGCUGGGAGGAGAGGGAGAAGCAGGAUCCCCGCCGAGCAGGGAGCCUGAUGCGGGGCUCGAUCCCAGGACGCUGGGACCAUGAGCUGAGCCGAAGGCGGACGCUUAGCCGACUGCGCCCCCCAGGCGCCCUGGGGGGAACCACUGUGAAGGGUGUGAGCUGGGUGGACUGCUGCUAAUUAUGUGGAGAGUUUGAAGAAAGAAAUGACAGGCUCAAGACCUGCUAACAGAAUCACACAGCUUGUCUUUGCAGCUGAGGCUAAUGUGACUCAAAACAGAGCAGAGGGUCACCGGCUGGCUCUGUCGAUUAAGCGUCCGACUCUUGAUUUCAGCGCAGGUCAUGAUCUCGGGGUCCAGGGAUCGAGCCCCACUUGGGGCCCUGCGCUCGGUGGGGAGCCUGCUUCUCUCCCUCUCCCUCUGCCCCUCCCCCUGCUCACACGGGCCCUAUGAAUAGAUCUUAAAAAAGAGAAAAGAAAAGAGAAUUCACUUGCCAUUUCAUUAUUAAAAAAACCAAACUGAGCAGAGUCUGACUUUAACACCGAGUGAAUUCGUAGCCCUUCUGGGCCUCUUAAGGGAAAGUGCCAGGACCUUGGAAUUGUGGGAGCACUUUGGGAAUGUUUGCUGUGCUGGGAUUCCCAAGGCCCGGGAGCCCACAAAGCAGUCCGUCCCUCCCAGCUGAGAAAGCUCGACCUUUCUGCUUCCUCCUCACCCAUCGGCCCUUGCCUCCUGUGCACCCGUCACCACGCAAGAUGAGGGAGAUCAGCACAAUCCUCAGGAAGGAGGAAGGCUACGCACCUUCCCCUACCAAAACCCCCAAUAUUUGUCAGUUUUUUAAAUCCCAAACUCAGGGAAUAUAUGUGAGAAUGGAUUUGAGAACAUUAGACUGGGAAGAAAGAAAUCGAAUAUUAGACUGGACAGCUGCACUUAGCAAAAAUCUGGAGUCCCCUGGUAAGCGGGGAGUGGUGCUGUUGGCUCAGUCACGGACUGGAACCUGGACUCUGCGGGCCUGAGAUAAAGAAAGGGAAGCUUGCCGAGGUUCCUUGCACUAACGUGGAGCGAAGUAUCCACACACGUCCAGAGAAUAAACGGUGGGCAGAUUUGUGCAGCCCCUUCCCCAUCACCACGGUCCCCCUGCGGACAUAGUCCCUUUACCUGAGACUAGUUAUCAAGGUUAUCACCAGCAUCUUUUUUCUUUUCUUUUCUUUUUAAAGAUUUCACCUAGUUAUUAGAGAGAGAGAGCAGAACGAGAAA